UCCUGGCUCAGGACGAACGCUGGCGGCGUGCCUAAUACAUGCAAGUCGUACGCUUCUUUUUCCACCGGAGCUUGCUCCACCGGAAAAAGAGGAGUGGCGAACGGGUGAGUAACACGUGGGUAACCUGCCCAUCAGAAGGGGAUAACACUUGGAAACAGGUGCUAAUACCGUAUAACAAUCGAAACCGCAUGGUUUUGAUUUGAAAGGCGCUUUCGGGUGUCGCUGAUGGAUGGACCCGCGGUGCAUUAGCUAGUUGGUGAGGUAACGGCUCACCAAGGCCACGAUGCAUAGCCGACCUGAGAGGGUGAUCGGCCACAUUGGGACUGAGACACGGCCCAAACUCCUACGGGAGGCAGCAGUAGGGAAUCUUCGGCAAUGGACGAAAGUCUGACCGAGCAACGCCGCGUGAGUGAAGAAGGUUUUCGGAUCGUAAAACUCUGUUGUUAGAGAAGAAUAAGGAUGAGAGUAACUGUUCAUCCCUUGACGGUAUCUAACCAGAAAGCCACGGCUA
This 511-nucleotide ribosomal RNA is filed under the name Enterococcus faecium. RNAcentral describes it as "bacterial SSU rRNA". It matches the Rfam family "Bacterial small subunit ribosomal RNA", at positions 17 to 499 of the family's 1533-position model. The record is from RNAcentral. Lineage: Bacteria; Bacillati; Bacillota; Bacilli; Lactobacillales; Enterococcaceae.